This 425-nucleotide ribosomal RNA is filed under the name uncultured bacterium. Its description in RNAcentral is "bacterial SSU rRNA". It matches the Rfam family "Bacterial small subunit ribosomal RNA", at positions 354 to 796 of the family's 1533-position model. The record is from RNAcentral.
GUGGGGAAUAUUGGACAAUGGGCGAAAGCCUGAUCCAGCCAUGCCGCGUGAGUGAAGAAGGCCUUAGGGUUGUAAAGCUCUUUCAGCGGGGAAGAUAAUGACGGUACCCGCAGAAGAAGUCCCGGCUAACUUCGUGCCAGCAGCCGCGGUAAUACGAAGGGGACUAGCGUUGUUCGGAUUUACUGGGCGUAAAGCGCGCGUAGGCGGAUCACUAAGUCAGGGGUGAAAUCCCGAGGCUUAACCUCGGAACUGCCUUUGAUACUGGUGAUCUGGAGAUUGGGAGAGGUUGGUGGAAUUCCGAGUGUAGAGGUGAAAUUCGUAGAUAUUCGGAGGAACACCAGAAGCGAAGGCGGCCAACUGGCCCAAUACUGACGCUGAGGCGCGAAAGCGUGGGGAGCAAACAGGAUUAGAUACCCUAGUAGUCC